RNAcentral lists this long non-coding RNA (1031 nucleotides) under Salvia miltiorrhiza (redroot sage). RNAcentral's name for it is "long non-coding RNA (SMIL_LNC013682)". Lineage: Eukaryota; Viridiplantae; Streptophyta; Magnoliopsida; Lamiales; Lamiaceae. The record is from RNAcentral.
AGGGCGUGUUUGAUAGGGGAAAUUGGGCAAGAUAAGUUAUAUUUCUAGCCCAAUCCAAUUGUUUGAUACCAGCAACUAAUAAUAAGCUAAGCCUGCAAUUAUGACCAAGCCCGCAGUUAUUUCACUGUUCCAAUUAGACAAUUGAUCCACCGCCCCCCACUAGAUCAACAAUCUCGUCUCCUACAGUGUUAUAGAUUAUAAUUCAGGUUCUCGAAAUUGUCCCUCAAUUCAUUUCAAUUUCAAUACCAUUUUCAAAUCCCUCCCAAUCUGGUUUGUGAAAAGCGCAAGGAAGAGAGUGCAGGUGUCUGAGUUCUUCACCAUUUGCGCCCAAUUUCAGUACCAUUUUCUCGCCUGCACAGAGACUUCUAGCUUCUGAGUUUUUCACCAAUCUGGUUUUAUGUAUUCAAGCAUAUCUGGGAAAUUGGGGUGCUAGACGUUGAGGAACGACGCUGUUGUUGGGGAGGGACGUCGGCGCCGUGGUUGGGGAGGCAGGGGGCGGCGCGCAAGGGGUGGGUGGGUAAGGUUGCUAUCGCGCACGUAGAAAUCGAGCCUAAACUCUGGAUCUUUGCUGGGGAAGGAUGGGCGACGACGGGGAGGGACGCCGGCGCUCGGGGAGGCUGGAGACAAUGGGCGCGGGGAAGAAGGAGAUUAGAAUUGCUGGAGAUAGGAACUGCCGAAUUCUAAUAGAUUUUUCCUUUUUUUAGGGGAUCUUUUUUUUAUAAUUUCAAUUUAACAAUUAAUUUAAUAUAAGGUUAAAAUAGUAAUUUUUUACCUUUGAUUAUUUAAUCUAAAUUUUAAUCUUGAUCUAUCAAACAACUAAUUCAUGUUAUCUGGAUUUUAAUCUUGAUCUAUCAAACACUAAAAUACAUUAUUAUUAUCACCCAAUCCAUAUUAUUUUAACUAAGUUUUAUUUAUCACUCUUUAUCUCAACUAGCUAUCAAACUGGCCCGAAGAGAAUAGAGAAUACAUCACAUGCGUUUGCGUUUAUUUUGGAUGAAUCUAAUGGCGCAAAUAGUUGUGAAUUUAUAUAU